UACGAAGGGGGCUAGCGUUGUUCGGAAUCACUGGGCGUAAAGCGCACGUAGGCGGACUUUUAAGUCAGAGGUGAAAUCCCAAGGCUCAACCUUGGAACUGCCUUUGAUACUGGGAGUCUUGAGUUCGGGAGAGGUGAGUGGAACUGCGAGUGUAGAGGUGAAAUUCGUAGAUAUUCGCAAGAACACCAGUGGCGAAGGCGGCUCACUGGCCCGGUACUGACGCUGAGGUGCGAAAGCGUGGGGAGCAAACAGG
Molecule: ribosomal RNA, 253 nt
Filed under: uncultured bacterium
Lineage: Bacteria
Description: partial 16S ribosomal RNA
Rfam family: Bacterial small subunit ribosomal RNA
Source: RNAcentral